Long non-coding RNA from Populus trichocarpa (black cottonwood), 251 nucleotides. RefSeq lists it as uncharacterized. The transcript is spliced from 2 exons. Lineage: Eukaryota; Viridiplantae; Streptophyta; Magnoliopsida; Malpighiales; Salicaceae. The record is from RefSeq and is a predicted model, not a curated record.
AUUUGAUUGUUCCAUAUUCAGUUAACUUAGCCCAUGUUUCCAAAGCCCAAAAGCAAGACAUGAAGGAUAUGACUUAAAGAGGCCAACUGACACAAUCAAGUUGUCAUCGCAACAGUUCUGACCAUUGCAUCCAGCAGCCUAGGCAAGGUAUUCAUGAUUGUAUUAUUUAUGCUAGCACUCCAAGUUUUCAAGGAGGGUAAACAAUGAACAACCGAAUGCAAACACCUUCAUUUAAUUCUCUAAAGGAACAA